CUAAGCCUAAAAACUGUUCUGGGUUCCCUGGAACAACACUUAAAAGCAAGUCACAAAAGGAUGAAAAUAUCCAUUCAUGAGAAAAGCAUAACUUCGAUUCACCAUUUCGCUGAGGCAUCCAAUGACUACUGCUGUUCCAGGGGCUCAGAGUGACCCAGAAGAGGUGCUCAGUUUCCUAUACUUAUUACUUGGACGGGAAUCAUGAUUCUAAUACACACUUGAGAUGAAAUACACCUCCAAGAGCAGAGAUUUUACAAAUGUAUAUGGUGUUGUCCUGAUAUUCUAGGACCAUACAGAGCUGUUUCAUUGAAAUAUCAAGCAUCAUUUGGAUACAUUGAAAAGGUAAAAAUAAAGAAGAAACAUUUUUCUCCAGAAACGCUGCAUUUUCUAGUCCCUUGACUCCAAAUGCAUAGUAGCUGUCAUUGUUACCUUCUCACGAGACCCAGGCAGCACCUGAGGCAGAUGAAGAAACUAGUUCCUGAUUAUAUUUUAGGAAAUUGGAAGAUAAAUACAUUUGCCCUAAUAUAAAGGAAGCAAAAAGCAAAAGUUUGGAAA
Molecule: long non-coding RNA, 555 nt
Organism: Talpa occidentalis (Iberian mole)
Lineage: Eukaryota; Metazoa; Chordata; Mammalia; Eulipotyphla; Talpidae
Exons: 6
Source: RefSeq, a predicted model, not a curated record